CGCGUAGGCGGGCCAGCCAGUCUGUGGUGAAAGCCUCCAGCUUAACUGGAGAAGUGCCGUGGAUACUGCUGGCCUCGAGGAGGGUAGGGGCAUCUGGAACGGUCGGUGGAGCGGUGAAAUGCGUAGAUAUCUGGAGGAAUACCGGUGGCGAAGGCGGCAUCCUGGACCGACAUUGACGCUGAGGAGCGAAAGCUAGGGGAGCGAAACG
RNAcentral lists this ribosomal RNA (208 nucleotides) under uncultured bacterium. RNAcentral's name for it is "partial 16S ribosomal RNA". It matches the Rfam family "Bacterial small subunit ribosomal RNA", at positions 568 to 775 of the family's 1533-position model. The record is from RNAcentral.